Molecule: transfer RNA, 71 nt
Filed under: Canis lupus familiaris (dog)
Lineage: Eukaryota; Metazoa; Chordata; Mammalia; Carnivora; Canidae
Also listed under: 1 other name
Rfam family: tRNA
About the family: Transfer RNA (tRNA) molecules are approximately 80 nucleotides in length.
Source: Rfam by way of RNAcentral
UCCUCAUUAGUAUAGUGGUGAGUAUCCCGACUGUCAUGUGGGAUACCUGGGUUUGAUUCCCUGAUGGGGAG